Molecule: small RNA, 78 nt
Filed under: Croceicoccus naphthovorans
Lineage: Bacteria; Pseudomonadati; Pseudomonadota; Alphaproteobacteria; Sphingomonadales; Erythrobacteraceae
Description: Makes More Granules Regulator RNA (mmgR)
Rfam family: Makes More Granules Regulator RNA (mmgR)
About the family: SuhB later renamed mmgR (makes more granules regulator) was a putative non-coding RNA found multiple times in the Agrobacterium tumefaciens genome and related alpha-proteobacteria. Other non-coding RNAs uncovered in the same analysis include: speF, ybhL, metA, and serC.
Source: Rfam by way of RNAcentral
AGAUCAGGCCUUUCAGGCAUCCUCUCCCAAACUUAAAUGGCCCGGCGGCCUGUCUGCCGGGCCUUUUUUCUUGCCCGC